UGAGGAAUAUUGGUCAAUGGACGCAAGUCUGAACCAGCCAAGUAGCGUGCAGGAUGACGGCCCUAUGGGUUGUAAACUGCUUUUAUAUGGGGAUAAAGUGGGGAACGUGUUCCCUUUUGCAGGUACCACAUGAAUAAGGACCGGCUAAUUCCGUGCCAGCAGCCGCGGUAAUACGGAAGGUCCGGGCGUUAUCCGGAUUUAUUGGGUUUAAAGGGAGCGUAGGCUGUCUAUUAAGCGUGUUGUGAAAUAUACCGGCUCAACCGGUGGCUUGCAGCGCGAACUGGUCGACUUGAGUAUGCAGGAAGUAGGCGGAAUUCAUGGUGUAGCGGUGAAAUGCUUAGAUAUCAUGACGAACUCCGAUUGCGCAGGCAGCUUACUGUAGCAUAACUGACGCUGAGGCUCGAAAGUGCGGGUAUCAAACAGG
This 424-nucleotide ribosomal RNA is filed under the name Verrucomicrobiota bacterium. Its description in RNAcentral is "Verrucomicrobia bacterium partial 16S ribosomal RNA". It matches the Rfam family "Bacterial small subunit ribosomal RNA", at positions 355 to 776 of the family's 1533-position model. The record is from RNAcentral. Lineage: Bacteria; Pseudomonadati; Verrucomicrobiota.